AAAAAAAAAAGAAAAAAAAAAUCCUUGCUGGGAUCUUUUAUUGGUAGUAAUUGCUUAUAAAUUUGGAUGGAUAUGUUAUGAUCUGGGGCUAUUUGUUUGCGGGAAUUUGAAGUCUUAUUGAUUCCUUCCGUAGAUCUAUUCUUUUCCAUGUAUCAUCGUCAUUGUCGUCACUUGGUUUUUAUCUAAUCAUGAAAAAGAAUCUCAGUCUGACUAGGGUCUUGAGUUUCUAAUUUGGUUGAGACUUGCUGUAAUGCAUAUAUAUUUUUUAAAUUUUUCCUUAGUGAUAAAGGGCUCUUAGAGUUGUCGAUUGGGUCAUCCAUUGUUGUUAUUAGUAGUAUCAUAUACUUUUGUUUUGUUAAUUAAUAGUCAUAUUUUUAACCUCUUAAUAUAAUUUCCAUGAGCUUGUAUAGGAUGAGUUUAUCUAACUAUUGGUUCCUGGUGAUUUGGAUUUAGUACGGCAUAUAAUCUGAGUCUAGAGAUUUCCACUUUUAUUUAACAUGUAUUGUUUUAUUCAUGGUUCUAAUAUAGACAAAAGACAAAUCAAAUCUAGUUCAGCGGCUAUUCCGUCACUUCAUGUAAUUUCCAUUUUUGGAGGUAUUUGGAUGCUUUAUUUAUUGGAGUGAUCCCAUUUGUAGUUUGAAAUGUGCUUCCACAAAAUCAAUUGGUCAAUAUAUGGCAUGGAGAGAAUCAUAUUUUUUUGUAUGAUAUUAGUCUCAGUGUUUUCUUUUCUACUUAGAUUAGUAUUGUUGGCUAUUUUUUGUGAGUUGCCAUGCUAUAAAAGAUAAAAGGCUCAUCUCUUUGUUGUUGAAAGUUAAGAAAUCAGGGCAUGUGUGCCUCUGCCUGUAAUCCAAUAUUUUUCAGCAAACUAUAAAGCCAAUUCCACUUUUUAUUUUUGUUCUUUGUCCAUUUUUAUUUGUUGAAAAUGCUUCAGAUUUAUCUUGAAUAAAUAUGUUUUUUUUUUGUCUCAUUUGUACAUAACUUUGUUUUAUAUCUUCUUUUUUUCUUGUUAGAUUAUUUGCGGUUGUAGACGACAUUUUCUGCUUAUUCCAAGGGCACAUUGACAAUGUUGCGGUUCUUAAGCAGCAAUAUGGCUUAAAUAAAACAGCAAAUGAGGUGAUCAUUGUUAUUGAAGCUUACAGAACCCUCCGAGAUCGAGGACCUUAUCCUGCUGAUCAGGUUGUCCGAGAUAUACAAGGGAAAUAUGCUUUUAUUCUAUAUGAUAGCACUUCAAAUGCCACAUUUAUAGCUGCUGAUGCUGAUGGAAGCGUACCCUUUUUCUGGGGAGCUGAUUCUGAAGAAAAUCUUGUACUUUCAGAUGAUGUUCAGAUUUUGCAGCAGGCCUGUGGGAAAUCAUUUGCUCCAUUUCCUAAAGGUGACUUUUUUUUUUGUUACAUUGGAAAAGCAAAGGUGACAUUUUUUUUCUAAUCAUUGUUGGACCAAUUGCCUUGUGUGUGAUUUAUAGAAAUCUCUUUCUUGGUACCCGUUUUGAAACCUAUGCGAGUGUAGCCAAGAAAAUACAAAAUAAAGACCGAAGGAGACACAUGGGUAAGGGUUGCAAUCUACUUCAAGUUGGUGAGGGAUAAGUGAAAAUUGAAAACCCAGAAAUGGGGUUUAUUUACAUGCACUAAAAUUUUCAACACAAUAUAUGUAAUGUGUAUCCUUUUAUACAUAUUCAUUUUGCAUGUAAGAUUUUGGGUUGAAAGUUAGGUCUUGUUCGUAUUGGAUUAUCUCAUGACAAUCCCUUUUUUAUCUGUUGUCUAGUGUAUUUACCUUUCCGUGCUAUAAUCCCAUGAACUUUUAGAUGGUUAUUUAAGCUGCAAAGAAGGAAUUCGCAAGUGCAGGAUAGAUGAUGAUCUGUAAAUAUUAGAUUGCUCAAUCUAUCCGUUUCUGUUGUUACCUUAGGAUGCUUCUGUACAACUACUGGAGGCUUGAGGAGCUUUGAGCACCCUCUGAAUGAGUUGAAGCCAGUUCCAAGAGUGGACAGUUCAGGUCAGAUUUGUGGUGCAACUUUCAAGGUGGAUGCAGAGACUAAGAAAGAAGGUGGCAUGCCCAGAGUUGGGAGUGCUUAUGACUGGUCCUCAAGCUACUAGAGGAGCUUUAAAGUUUUCUGAACGGGGCUCUGGUUAUUAACGGGCCUUCUUUUGGUUUUGCAAUAUCUUUUUCUGAUCUUAUAUUCUGAUCUUUGAUGAUUUUGCUGCAAAAGUAUACCACCUUAUAUUGUUGCUACUUGUUAGCAUUUCCCAAAAACAAGAUAGCAAUUUACAGUUCUGUAAAUGUUGCUUACUGUCCAGCUAAGUCCAAACUUGUAUGGGGCAUAACAUAAAAUAAGAUUUACCGUGCAUAUAGUUUCUGAUACAUGGUUGUGUUUGCAUUUAAUUUGUUGUUUUUUAUUUUAGCUCUUAUUUUGGCAUGUUGGAGAG
Molecule: unclassified non-coding RNA, 2420 nt
Filed under: Hevea brasiliensis (rubber tree)
Lineage: Eukaryota; Viridiplantae; Streptophyta; Magnoliopsida; Malpighiales; Euphorbiaceae
Source: RNAcentral